RNAcentral lists this unclassified non-coding RNA (294 nucleotides) under soil metagenome. RNAcentral's name for it is "partial contains small subunit ribosomal RNA, internal transcribed spacer 1, and 5.8S ribosomal RNA". The record is from RNAcentral.
UUUCCGUAGGUGAACCUGCGGAAGGAUCAUUAUUGAAUAAACUUGGUUAGGUUGUUGCUGGCUCUUAGGGGCAUGUGCACGCCGACUCCAUUUUUUAACCACCUGUGCACCUUGCGUAGAUCUGAUAAUCUCGAGGAAACUCGGUUUGAGAAUUGCUGUGCGACAAAGCCAGCUCUUCUUGCAAUCAGGUCUAUGUUUCUAUAUACCCCAUAUGAAUGUAUUGUGAAUGUCAUAAACUGGCCUUUGUGCCUUUAAAAACAAAUACAACUUUCAACAACGGAUCUCUUGGCUCUC